RNAcentral lists this ribosomal RNA (330 nucleotides) under uncultured eukaryote. RNAcentral's name for it is "partial 18S ribosomal RNA". It matches the Rfam family "Eukaryotic small subunit ribosomal RNA", at positions 1470 to 1796 of the family's 1831-position model. The record is from RNAcentral.
CCCUUAGAUGUUCUGGGCCGCACGCGCGCUACACUGACGAAUGCAACGAGCUUAUAAUAACCUUGGCCGAAAGGUCUGGGUAAUCUCCAAAUUUCGUCGUGAUGGGGAUAGAUUAUUGCAAUUAUUAAUCUUCAACGAGGAAUGCCUAGUAAGCGCAAGUCAUCAGCUUGCGUUGAUUACGUCCCUGCCCUUUGUACACACCGCCCGUCGUUCCUACCGAUUGAAUGGUCCGGUGAAGCGUUCGGACCGUGGCCUUUGGACGGUUCGCCGUCUGUUGGCUGCGGGAAGUUCGUUAAACCUUAUCAUUUAGAGGAAGGAGAAGUCGUAACA